GGCUGUUAAUUACCAAACAUUCUUAGAUCACCUCAUUGCACAUCCAAGAAGGGGUCUUAAAUUUCUUUUUAAUAUAAAAUAAUAUUUUAAAAAAUAAAAAAUGAAGAAAGAUAAAAAAAAAAAUGUCUUCCCACAUACUUCUAACCAUCAGUUAAAGACACUAUGGUACUAUGUGUUGGUGAUCAAUGCGAUGCUGUGCUUGCUUAGGUGAAGGUUUAAUUGCACCAUUUAUUUGUUUACACACACCAAACACAUAUUCAAUCACCUAUAAAUGCUAUGAACCAGUUUUUAACAAUCGGCUUGUAAUUUUUUCUUCUCAUAUGAGGACUUGUUUUGGGAGUUCUGGAAGCACUAGCCCUCGCAUUAACAGUCCCAGCAGUACAUGCUCGCAGCUCGUCACAAGGUAUCUGACACUAAAACUUUUGCUCUUGUUUGCUAUUUUCCUGACUUACACACAAUGAAGAGGAGAACACAUAACUCUAUUCCAUUAUAGACAUUUAUAUUGUGCUGUUGUUGUUCUCAUAUACUCAAUGUAAGCAAAAUAAAUUCUAUUUAAUCUUUUUUUUUGUAAGCACCCUAUAAAUGUAGCAUUCCACCAUUGGAGAUACAAAAUUUACAUUUUAAAUCUUAAAGUUCUUAACCUUAAAAUUUUCAAAAUUUUAAGGUUAAAAAAUUUGGAGGUGGUUUUAGAGUUUUUAAUAAUUAAAUAUUUAUUUAAUUGAUUUAAUUUAAUUAUAAAGACACUCUAUUUGAGUAAGACUGAUAGAGACGCUCUUACGGGUUAUACCUUGGAACAUUAUGUUGAGUAUAUUGUAAUCUGGACUCAAUUUCCCCAAAAAAAUUAAAACAUAAUAUCAAAUUUGAGGUUUAUUUUUAGGUAUGUUCGCAUUAAGCACCCAUAAUUAUAAUUCUAGUAAUAAUAACCAAAGUCAAACGUUUGGCUUAGAUUGCACAACUACAACUAGGAUCGGAUCCGCGCUACAGCGCGGGGGAAUAUUCUCUAAUAUAUAAAUAAAAUCAUAUAUAUAAAGUAAGGUUUCACUCUCUCCUUAUUGGUCCAUUUGUA
Molecule: long non-coding RNA, 1066 nt
Filed under: Capsella grandiflora
Lineage: Eukaryota; Viridiplantae; Streptophyta; Magnoliopsida; Brassicales; Brassicaceae
Description: long non-coding RNA (CGRA_LNC000636)
Source: RNAcentral